Molecule: long non-coding RNA, 1241 nt
Organism: Carya illinoinensis
Lineage: Eukaryota; Viridiplantae; Streptophyta; Magnoliopsida; Fagales; Juglandaceae
Exons: 2
Source: RefSeq, a predicted model, not a curated record
AAUGGUGAAAAUGUAAAUAAAAUUGCAAUGAUGUAAUUUAUGCAAGAACCAAACACUGGAAAUGGAUAAAAACUAAGACUCUGUAUUGCUACGGGAUCUUCAAGGGUCCCUCACCUCCAGAAAAAGAAAUACAAGUUCAGACUAUUGAAUUCAUAAAACUAAAUACCAACUCCCUUUCAUCCUUAUAGGUGUGGAUGGCAGAGAUUUACAAAAGACUGAAUCUUAUAACUGCUUUUAUUCUUCUUUAGUUAAAAGAUACAUAGGCUACUUCUAGAACAAACUGCAGCGCAGCUCUCCACAUUACUGAAAUGGCACUGUAUCAUUUCCAAGAUAAUUAUCCUAAACACAGCACUUCACUGAACUUUCACAAUGCAGCACCAUGACUUCAUACGGAAAACGACGCCAUAACCUUCCCUGGUUCCCAUGACAUCAUUUCAAGUUCAGUAUAUCAAUUCCUUUGCAAGACAUGAACUCCAAACCUUCAUUUCUAUGUUUGGUCGUCCUGAUGAAACCCAUUUCUCCCCCUUUCACCCAGACCGCCAUCCUUGAUCUUCUUCACGAUCUGAGCUCCUAACAAUCCCCCCUGCUUAAAGAACCUUGCCCACAAGGUGUGGGUAAUGCUCUUGAAGUCUUCAAAGCAACUCCCAUGUGUUAUCAUUGGAAGAAGCCCCAAGCCAUUUCACUAAUACUUCUGUCACCGCCCUAUGCCCAAGCUUAUUUAUGUGCCAAUCUACCACUUCUUCUGGCUCCGGUUGGAUAUCCCCAUUUUUAUCCAUGGGUGGCAGUGUGGGAAUGGAUUGGAUAUGGGAUCCAAACUUCUUUUUCAGGCAAGAAACGUGGAAGACUAGGUUUAUUUGGGAUGAAGCUGGGAGAUCCAAGCGGUAGGCAACAAUUCCAAUCCAUUGAAGAAUUUUAAUGACCCAAAAAACCUCGGUGAUAGUUUUAGAUUCAGGUGAUAGUUUUAGAUUCAGGCACCUCACCACCGAGUUCUAUCGAUAGGGCUAUAAAUGAGUCGAUCCAUAGCAUCUGUAGAUGAAGUACCUGGUACAUAAGAUAAGAGACAAGGGGGAGGAUACCCAUACAAUGCUUCGAAAUGUGAAAUUUUUGUCGAAGUAUGAUAAGAAUUGUUGUAACUAUAUUCUGCCAAAGGAAGCCACUUACUCCAUUGUUUCUGUUUGGAGCCUAUGUAGCAACGUAAAUAAGUUUCUAAACAUUUGUUGAGAGCCUCAAUUUUUCCAUCA